UACGGAGGAUCCGAGCGUUAUCCGGAUUUAUUGGGUGUAAAGGGUGCGUAGGCGGACUGUCAAGUCGGCUGUGAAAGCUCACGGCUCAACCGUGAAAUUGCAGUUGAAACUGUUGGUCUUGAGUAUUCAUGAGGUGGGCGGAAUUCGUGGUGUAGCGGUGAAAUGCUUAGAUAUCACGAAGAACUCCAGUUGCGAAGGCAGCUCACUGGGAUAUAACUGACGCUGAUGCACGAAAGUGUGGGUAUCAAACAGG
This 253-nucleotide ribosomal RNA is filed under the name uncultured bacterium. RNAcentral's name for it is "partial 16S ribosomal RNA". It matches the Rfam family "Bacterial small subunit ribosomal RNA", at positions 524 to 776 of the family's 1533-position model. The record is from RNAcentral.